UACGAAGGGGGCUAGCGUUGUUCGGAAUUACUGGGCGUAAAGCGCGCGCAGGCGGUUCUCCAAGUCAGUGGUGAAAGCCCGGAGCUCAACUCCGGAACUGCCCAUUGAAACUGUUGAACUUGAGGACGAGAGAGGUGAGUGGAAUUCCCAGUGUAGAGGUGAAAUUCGUAGAUAUUGGGAAGAACACCAGUGGCGAAGGCGGGCUCACUGGCUCGUAUCUGACGCUCAGGCGCGAUAGCGUGGGAUCAAACAGG
Molecule: ribosomal RNA, 254 nt
Filed under: uncultured bacterium
Lineage: Bacteria
Description: partial 16S ribosomal RNA
Rfam family: Bacterial small subunit ribosomal RNA
Source: RNAcentral